RNAcentral lists this ribosomal RNA (462 nucleotides) under uncultured beta proteobacterium. RNAcentral describes it as "bacterial SSU rRNA". It matches the Rfam family "Bacterial small subunit ribosomal RNA", at positions 202 to 645 of the family's 1533-position model. The record is from RNAcentral. Lineage: Bacteria; Pseudomonadati; Pseudomonadota; Betaproteobacteria.
AGAAGCAGGGGAUCGUAAGGCCUUGCGCUUUUGGAGCGGCCGAUGCCUGAUUAGCUAGUUGGUGGGGUAAAGGCCUACCAAGGCGACGAUCAGUAGUUGGUCUGAGAGGACGACCAGCCACACUGGGACUGAGACACGGCCCAGACUCCUACGGGAGGCAGCAGUGGGGAAUUUUGGACAAUGGGCGCAAGCCUGAUCCAGCAAUGCCGCGUGAGUGAAGAAGGCCUUCGGGUUGUAAAGCUCUUUCAGUCGAGAAGAAAAGGCUACGGUAAAUAAUCGUAGUUCAUGACGGUACCGACAGAAGAAGCACCGGCUAACUACGUGCCAGCAGCCGCGGUAAUACGUAGGGUGCGAGCGUUAAUCGGAAUUACUGGGCGUAAAGGGCGCGCAGGCGGCUUUGUGAGUCAGAUGUGAAAUCCCCGGGCUUAACCUGGGAAUUGCGUUUGAAACUACAAAGCUAGA